CACACAUCUGAAGCAUCUAGCAUCCAGCUCUGGGACCAGGGACACUCGGAGAAAGGACACAGAAAGAAACAGAGUGAAUGUAAUGCAAUAAUGGUAUAUAUAGUAAAUACAUAGGUAGUUAGAGAAGGGCUCAGUGCAUCAAGAGAGGUUCCCCAGCAGCCUAGGCCUAUAGCAGCAUAACUAGGGGCAAACUAAAGGGACGUCAAGAGGGGAAGUCAGUUGUGCAAAACGAGGGAAAAAGGUAUGCAAACCUGGUUCUUUUUCUUUGACACUUCAAAUUUAAUUGUCAAUGAUGUAAACCUGUGUAAUUUCAUUUUAGAAGUCCGAGGACCGAUAGGGAAGCAUUGUGUUGCCCUGGUUUUCUGGUAGAAACCCCCUUCCUUGGUCAGGUCUUUUUGUGAUGCAAGAAAGAAUCGAGAAAUACCAGUCAUCCCACAAGGCGGACUGGCGAUCCAUUUGAUGGCGAGCCUCCCAUGACGAACUGUGGAAGUCCACCACACCGCUUAGCAAGUGGAUCUGGUGGUAGGAUCGUGCAAAUCUUGUUGUCCAACAACAAGAUACCCUUCCUGCAUACUUACUCAUGACUUUUGACUAUUCCCCCUGACUUUUGACUUGAACAAAUCUUGGAUCGGCAAAGAUCAGUACUCAUAAGGAACACUUUGAAAAAGACAAUUUAUUUCAUUUUUUUUGUUAUUGGGCCCAUGGUUCUGUGCACAGUAUUUUUUGUACACUGUUAAAAAUAAUUUUUGCAAAACUAAAAGUUACAACUUUACCACUUUAAA
Amphiprion ocellaris (clown anemonefish) is the source of this 782-nucleotide long non-coding RNA. RefSeq lists it as uncharacterized. The transcript is spliced from 2 exons. NCBI's taxonomy places the organism in Eukaryota, Metazoa, Chordata, Actinopteri, Pomacentridae. The record is from RefSeq and is a predicted model, not a curated record.